GACAAACGCUGGCGGUAUGCCUAACACAUGCAAGUCGAACGGACAGAACAGGGAAGCUUUUCGGAGUGGAACUGGAAAGUUAGUGGCGGAUGGGUUAGUAACGCGUGGACAACCUACCUUGUAAAGGGGAAUAACCUCGAGAAAUCGAAGCUAAUACCCCAUAAUAACCUUGCUUCGCAUGAAGUAAGGAGGAAAGGCGGCCUUAGCGCUGUCGAUACCAGAUUGGUCCGCGUCUUAUUAGCUAGUUGGUGAGGUAAAGGCUCACCAAGGCGACGAUCAGUAGCCGGCCUGAGAGGGUGAACGGCCACAUUGGAACUGAGACACGGCCCAAACUCCUACGGGAGGCAGCAGUGGGGAAUCUUCCGCAAUGGGCGAAAGCCUGACGGAGCAAUGCCGCGUGAGUGAAGAAGGCCUUCGGGUUGUAAAACUCUGUCAUUAUCGAAGAGAGAGUGUUGUAGUAACUGACAAUAUUAGGACGGUAGAUGAGGAGGAAGCCCCGGCUAACUAUGUG
RNAcentral lists this ribosomal RNA (511 nucleotides) under uncultured bacterium. Its description in RNAcentral is "partial 16S ribosomal RNA". It matches the Rfam family "Bacterial small subunit ribosomal RNA", at positions 28 to 507 of the family's 1533-position model. The record is from RNAcentral.